Molecule: non-coding RNA, 72 nt
Organism: Ustilago bromivora
Lineage: Eukaryota; Fungi; Basidiomycota; Ustilaginomycetes; Ustilaginales; Ustilaginaceae
Source: the annotation of a GenBank genome assembly
GCCAGCUUAGCUCAGUGGCAGAGCGUUUGUCUUGUAAACAAAAGGUCACUCGUUCAAACCGGGUAGUUGGCU